This 253-nucleotide ribosomal RNA is filed under the name uncultured bacterium. RNAcentral's name for it is "partial 16S ribosomal RNA". It matches the Rfam family "Bacterial small subunit ribosomal RNA", at positions 524 to 776 of the family's 1533-position model. The record is from RNAcentral.
UACGGAGGAUCCAAGCGUUAUCCGGAAUCAUUGGGGUUAAAGGGUCCGUAGGCGGUCUAGUAAGUCAGUGGUGAAAGCCCAUCGCUCAACGGUGGAACGGCCAUUGAUACUGCUAGACUUGAAUUAUUAGGAAGUAACUAGAAUAUGUAGUGUAGCGGUGAAAUGCUUAGAGAUUACAUGGAAUACCAAUUGCGAAGGCAGGUUACUACUAAUGGAUUGACGCUGAUGGACGAAAGCGUGGGUAGCGAUCCGG